GGGAUGGUAGCCUAGCGGGAAGGCGCAGGUCUCCAAAACCUGAGGUCAUGGGUUCGAAUCCUAUCCAUCCCA
This 72-nucleotide transfer RNA is filed under the name bacterium. RNAcentral's name for it is "tRNA-Trp". It matches the Rfam family "tRNA". From Rfam's summary of the family: Transfer RNA (tRNA) molecules are approximately 80 nucleotides in length. Their secondary structure includes four short double-helical elements and three loops (D, anti-codon, and T loops). Further hydrogen bonds mediate the characteristic L-shaped molecular structure. tRNAs have two regions of fundamental functional importance: the anti-codon, which is responsible for specific mRNA codon recognition, and the 3' end, to which the tRNAs corresponding amino acid is attached (by aminoacyl-tRNA synthetases). tRNAs cope with the degeneracy of the genetic code in two manners: having more than one tRNA (with a specific anti-codon) for a particular amino acid; and 'wobble' base-pairing, i.e. permitting non-standard base-pairing at the 3rd anti-codon position. The record is from RNAcentral.